UCUCUCUCUCUCAUCCCAGGAACUGUCUCUCUCUCUCUCAUCCCAGGUAGAGUCAGACAUGGUCUUUUAUGUGUUCAUGUACAGUAUAUAACAAUAUACCCUGUUGGUGGGUUAGAGGUCAAGCAGAUGAGGCGACAGAGUGCAUGGUGGAUGGUUAGAGGUCGAGUAGAUGAGGCGACAGAGUGCUUGGUGGAUGGUUAGAGGUUAGAGGUCGAGUAGAUGAGGCGACAGAGUGCUUGGUGGAUGGUUAGAGGUCGAGUAGAUGAGGCGACAGAGUGCUUGGUGGAUGGUUAGAGGUCGAGUAGAUGAGGCGACAGAGUGCU
Molecule: long non-coding RNA, 323 nt
Organism: Oncorhynchus keta (chum salmon)
Lineage: Eukaryota; Metazoa; Chordata; Actinopteri; Salmoniformes; Salmonidae
Exons: 3
Source: RefSeq, a predicted model, not a curated record